UGCUUAUGCACUGCCAGUAGAGGGGUGGCUCACCCUUUUUCUUGCCAGCCCAUUCUGAAUCUGGGCAUUUCUCCUGGGAAGUUCUUCCUCAGAUGGAGUGGAGGAGAACCAUGGAGAGGAGGGGAGGCUGGACCGGGCUUCACCUCACACGGUGCAGGAAUGGCCACAAAGUCCUGAUGAAGAGCAGCCCCUGCGGGACAUCCCUGACAAACAACCCUACAGCUUCUGCUUGAGUCUCCCCAGCAUGGGGAACUCACCACCUUCCAAGGCACCUCUCUUGUAAAUGAAGAAAUUAAAACUGCAAGUUGAAACUGAGUCACUGAUGGCGCCAGAUGUUUCUGGAGCAAAACUGGGAAAGAGGGUGAGCAUUGGAAAGACACCUCCUCCUGUUAUCUUCGAGAAGCCAUUUACUGGGAAAACAAAAACUGAGCUCCAUGAUGCAUAAAUUCCAAAAUGCAGAGGCCAAUUUCUUUCCCUUUGACCACAUGUCGGAAAGGCUCGGGGUUCAGUAACUGGAGGAGGCAGUGUUUAAUCCCAAUUUUACCAGUGAAGAAACUGAGGCUCAGAAAAACAAAGUGACUCCAAAUUCCUUGAGCACCUGGCCAGGGUCAGUCCCCACGGUGGCUGAGAUGGUUGACCAAUGGCCUCUGGGGAGAAGGCUAUGGGCACAGACACUGGUCCCUGGCUUGUUGGGAGGGAACAAGGAUGUCCAUCUGUCCUCCCUCAACACUGCCUCCUGGGGGACAAGGAAGAUGCCCAGAGUGAGUGGGCAGGGUGGGCGAUGGACUCAUACCCUGCCUUGGUGUCUCUGUGGCUCCUGGAAGAUCCUUGCAAGCAGCGGUGAGCACUGUGACUUGAGCCCUGCGGUGGUGGCUUGCCAUGUGGCCAGUCAAGGUGGACGAUGGACUCAUAUGCUGCCUGGGUGUCUCUGUGACUCUUGGGAGAUCCUUGCUGGCAGCGGUGAGCACUGUGACUUCAGCCCUGCAGUGGUAGCUGGUCACAUGGCCAGUCAAGGCUCAGUCUUCUUAGUAAUCAAAGGACUGAAAGUGUCCAGUAGCUUUGGAUGAUGGUUGAGGACUCGUUAAUAAAGACCACUGCCCUAUGGGAAUGCGUUAUACUCUCUGGAAUGAGCCGUGCAGGUGGGCUCAGAGAACAUACCAUUUGCACACUCAUAACAAUGUAAAAGUAUGAAAGUAAAAGUCAUAUGAAAUCCUCCUGUGCAGAGCUAGUUAAUGUUGGGUGACUGUCACUCCAGGCAUCUGUCUUUGCACUUGCAAGAGGGAUAACAUGUAGGUAAAUAGGAAAACACUGUACAGUAUAUGCUAUCCUUUACUUACUUUAGUCAAUGGUAUAUCAACAAACAUAAAUCUAUAUCAUUUUAACUGCAUCUGAUUCCAUUGUAUGAAUGUACCUUACUUUAUUUAAUCAGUAGGCUUCUGAUUGCAAUUUGCAUUGGGUUUUGCAUUUCAGCCAUCUUUCGUGAUCCUUAAA
Molecule: long non-coding RNA, 1491 nt
Filed under: Homo sapiens (human)
Lineage: Eukaryota; Metazoa; Chordata; Mammalia; Primates; Hominidae
Description: HSALNT0066866
Source: RNAcentral